AGUGUGAGAUUCCCAAUAUAGUAUUUCAAAGAGCAUACCCCGCCAAAUCAACAUCCCCCAGGAGGCAGACUUAAAAAAAAAAAAUAGCGCGCCCCUCUGGCUUGCCGGGGAGGUGGGCUGGACAGGUGGGCCAGGUGAGGCAGUGGGCCUGGGUGUUCUGCGGGAAGUUGGCCGCGACCGCGUGGAGGAAGAGAGGCGGCAGGCACCUAGUGUGCUCCUGAUGUCUUGAGUUUGUUUCCUGACAAGGAAGAACAUGAUCUGAUCCAAAUAUUCCUAGAGGUGUUAGGAUUGCAGUGUGAUUCUUUUCCAAAGACGUUUCUACCUGGAGAUUUCACUAGUUCAACAAUUAAGCAUUAGUUGAGGGAGACACACUAAGCCUGUAUGCAUGCACAAGAGA
This 397-nucleotide long non-coding RNA is filed under the name Ictidomys tridecemlineatus (thirteen-lined ground squirrel). Its description in RNAcentral is "lncRNA (ENSSTOG00000029398.1)". The record is from RNAcentral. Lineage: Eukaryota; Metazoa; Chordata; Mammalia; Rodentia; Sciuridae.